This 391-nucleotide ribosomal RNA is filed under the name uncultured bacterium. RNAcentral describes it as "bacterial SSU rRNA". It matches the Rfam family "Bacterial small subunit ribosomal RNA", at positions 29 to 418 of the family's 1533-position model. The record is from RNAcentral.
AACGAACGCUGGCGGCAUGCCUAACACAUGCAAGUCGAGCGGUAGAGAGGUGCUUGCAUCUCUUGAGAGCGGCGGACGGGUGAGUAAUGCCUAGGAAUCUGCCUAGUGGUGGGGGAUAACGUUCGGAAACGGACGCUAAUACCGCAUACGUCCUACGGGAGAAAGCGGGGGAGUCUUCGGACCUCGCGCCAUUAGAUGAGCCUAGGUCGGAUUAGCUAGUUGGUGAGGUAAAGGCUCACCAAGCCGACGAUCUGUAGCUGGUCUGAGAGGACGACCAGCCACACUGGGACUGAGACACGGCCCAGACUCCUACGGGAGGCAGCAGUGGGGAAUUUUGGACAAUAGGGCGGCAAGCCUGAUCCAGCAAUGCCGCGUGCAGGAUGAAGGCCUC